This 1200-nucleotide long non-coding RNA is filed under the name Sparus aurata (gilthead seabream). RNAcentral's name for it is "lncRNA (ENSSAUG00010006259.1)". Lineage: Eukaryota; Metazoa; Chordata; Actinopteri; Spariformes; Sparidae. The record is from RNAcentral.
CCUAACUCGAUAAACUAAAUGAAGGUUGUAUUAUUUCCAUCACAAUCACGGGCAGACAGUGUGUAGUUACCUUGGUAAUGCCUAGAGCAGGCUGGUAAAGGCGAACGGCCAGGAAGAGCUGUUGUUGGAGUGGGAGGUUGUUUUACUGGAAGCUGUACUUACAGCAACACUGUGGGCCUGAUAAAAAUCGAGCUUGAAAAUGAAUGGAUUCACAGGUUAGCUGUCAAUUCUUCUUCUGUAGUACAGCCCUUAAGAAGCACAUUGAGCUAGAUGAAUAAAAAGCUUGCAGAAUGUUACAUUAACUGCUGCUGGUGACGACUUUUACUGCUUUUUUAAUGAAUUAUGGAGGUCGCAGAAAGCCACAGUGGAAAUGAAAUAAAAUUCCACUGAAUAAUGUACCUGGCAUUGCAGGAAUAAAAUAAAUGUAUUGAAAAGGGUCACAUGUGCUAUCUUUGGCAUUAGAAUACAUCAGAAAAAAAACCUAACCCGAUGAAGCUUUACAGCAUUUUAGAGACGAAAGUUCACAGUUAAUACUAAGCGUGAAAUUAAUGAGGCCACUUGCCAGCUGUGUCAAACUCAGGAGACAAGCUAGGUUAAACGGCGAUACAGUAAAGAGGCAGCAACAACCCAAUGCAACUGCACAGUAAAGCAUCAAGUCUCACAUGUCAGGCAAAACCCCCCAAACAUCACCGAGGACAACUCCACGGCCAUAAACUCCACCUGUGCUCAACACAACAUCCAAUAGUAGAACCAGGAAAACAGGACAUAAUUACAAAUCCAAGUUCAAGGACUGAAAGCAAGCAAAAACAGGGGAGCAUGUGCAUCCUGCAUGACAAGGAGGACCUGUCCCGACUGGAGAUGGUCCAGAGACUGGCCAAGGAUGGCUACCGCUUCCUGCAGAACCACAGCAAGGGCCCAGAGAGGACGAGCGAGAGUGACGAGGCAGUCCGUGUGUGCCUGAGGGAGAGGGGCCACGAUGUGCUGGUCCUACAGAGAAUGUCGUCAGAGCAGCCGGCCCCCUCUGCAUCAGCGAGGGGAGGAGGGAAAGAGGAGGCGAGGAACAGGAGGUAAGCCUCUGCCCUCCCCUUCUUCCUAGGUUCCCUCCCUCCCUCCCUCCCCCUCCCUCCCUCACUAUCUGCUUCUUUCUCUCAGCACUCUCCCUCUCAUCAUUCUCCCUUCUCUGUCUCUCUGGAUAACACU